GAAAUGUGUUAAGGCUCCACUUCAAAUGUUGGCACUGCUAUGAGCAUGGUUUUUCCCUUUACUGUAAUUCAGAAUUUAACUUUGGAUUCUCAGUUUAUAUUCCAGUCCCAGCAGUUUUCACUGUAGAAGUUAUCUGAAGACAGUCUUAUACUUUCUAGUAGUUGUCUACAAACCAGGCUUUAGCUUCUCCAGGAACACACUACAGGAUGGAUUUAGCUUAAAUGUACAUUAAACUAAUAGGCAUUCUCUCAAAUGAAUUUAAAUGCAUUUUAUUUUUAGACAACCUACAUGACAAUGUUUUUUGCCUUAAAAACAAUGCCUCCACUUGAAGUAAAUCAUGGUCAAAAUAAGUGAGGAGCUCAAGAUAACAUCAGUCCCACUUCCUGUAAAUCCUGUGCUUUCGGUACCUUCGCCCUCCGGGCCUUCGGCGGAGGCAUUCCCACCGAUGAGCGAAUCAUCAAUGUUACCCUCUGUCCUACUGACCAUCUUCCCCUCCACCUCCAGGCACAGUCCGCCCGCGAUCUCCUGGAUCUUGUAGAUGUCGGAGAACAUCUCAUCGUGGCUGAUGAGGUCCCGGUAGAUAAUCAUGAUGGCGGCCGGUAGGAGACGACGACGGCGGCGCUAGCUUGGCAGGAGCCCGGAGCUCAGAGCGAGUGCAGUGCAGCCGGAGCGGCCCUAGGCGGUAGAGGGGAGUGGGCGGAUUUUGAAAACCUUGGAUUCCAUUAUUCAGGAAAUAUUUUUUUCAUUACCUUUUAAUUAUGAAAACUCUUAAAUCACCAAAAGUGGUAGAACCUGUGGAUAAUUUCAUUGAUUUUUCAUAAGAUUAAUAGUCUGUCUUUCAAUAUUUUUGUGUUUUAAAACUGUCUACUUAUUUACUGGAAAGGCAGAAAGACAUGGAGAGAAAGAGAGAGAGAGAGAGAGAGAGAGAGAGAAGACAGAGAGCUCCUACCUAUUGGUUCGCUCUCAAAUGAAUACAAUAGAUGGGUAUUAAAACUUGGAGCUGGGGCCUGCACUGUGGUGUAACAGAUAAAGCCUCCAUCUGCAGUGCUGGCAUCCCAUAUGGGUGCCGGUUCCAGUCUUGGCUGCUCCACUUCCAAUCCAGCUCUCUGCUAUGGCCCCUGGAGAUCAGUAGAAGAUAGCCCAAGUCCUUGGGCCCCUGCACCUGCAUGGGAGACCUGGAAGAAGCUCCUGGCUCCUGGCUUUGGAAAGGCACAGCUCCAGCUGUUGCAGCCAAUUGGGGAGUGAAGAGGAAGACCUCUCUCUCUCUCUCUCUCUCUCUCUCUCUCUGCCUCUCCUUCUCUCUGUGUAACUCUGACUUUCAAAUAAAUAAAUAAAUCUUAAAAAAAAAACA
Molecule: long non-coding RNA, 1351 nt
Filed under: Oryctolagus cuniculus (rabbit)
Lineage: Eukaryota; Metazoa; Chordata; Mammalia; Lagomorpha; Leporidae
Description: lncRNA (ENSOCUG00000036556.1)
Source: RNAcentral